UUUCUUUUUUGCUAUUUUUAUUCCCAAUCUAUGAAAUCGAAAUGUUUAUUUUUCAUGCAUGUUUCAUGUUAUUUUUUUCUUUGUAAAAGCAUCCCUACUUUUUACCUCUCAGUAUUGCAUUAUUUAAAUAAUGUUAAACAUUUUAGAAAAAAAGACCAAACAUUAAAAAAAUAUCUUAAGGCCUGACAUGGCAAGCAUACUGAAUCAUGUGGUGUAGGCGCGCGCGCGCACGCGUGUGCAUGUGUGUGUGUGUGGGGGGGGGGGUGGUCUGAGGUGGGCGGGGACAAUUUAAAUAUGACUGCAAUGAAGCAUGUGUUUUGCUUUUCUUUCAAGAGAAUGUCUUUAUUUUCGCAGUGUGGACAAUAGGCGUGUGGCGCUCCAGGACCGCGUUGUAUCAAUCUUUUCGGCUCUGCGGUGCAGUGAGGUGAUGUGCAGCGACCAGACCCGUCCCGUACCCACAGCAUGUCCAAACAGAUUAGGGGUCAGGGACGACUGAAGCAAGACCUCUGCAAUUAUAUUCCUAACAGCAAUUUCCAACCAAAAAUAUAACCUCUAAAUCCCAGACUAACUCAACGAAUCUAAAACUGUUGACUUGUGAGUAAAUAAAGUGUUCAGGAAUAAUUAUCAGUACAACCAUGUCAAAUGAAAUGCUCCUGUGGGCAUAAAAAGCGAACAUAAUCCAGCAGCUUCAUUAUUGACCAACAACUCAGCAUAAACAUUUUUUCUAGACUUUCCAACUCUGCGGAAGUCUGGCAAGAGAAAUUCGAUUGCGGUUAUAGAUCUCGUAGUCCCAUCACUGGAACAGCUGUUAUUUUUCCCCUAAACCCGAUAGUCAAACACAGACACGGCGACCACUUAGGCCUCGCAUCCCAGACCAAGGAUUAACAGUCUUUUAUAUUCAAAUUUAACUAUACCAGACGACUAAAUCAGAAUAAGCAUUCAUUUAUAAAAUUGCUUCCACAAAUUUGAUUAUUAAUGAAUCAGAUAGGCUAGCCUCUAUCUGACACAUUAAGUCUUAACAAUUUGUUUACAAGAUGGAUGAAAAAUUUGCUACUUAGCGCGAUGAUGACUCACCACCAUGAUGCAAUUUAUCUAUUUGUUUCCCUAUGGUAAGCGAUAUGCUUAUUAAAAUCAACAUUUAAAAUGCAUAUAGGCCUAAUUUGAUAUCUUAUGCAAAAAAAAAAAAAAAAAAAAAAAAAAAAAGAUGGCCUUGAUGCAAGUAGCUAAACAUCAACAAAAACCAUAAGAAAAUCUACCUCAUUAUCUCAUUAGCGACAGCCAACCAAAGAGCAGUGACAAGAAAUUAUUAUAUAAUUCCCCGCUGGGCCCGAAAUGAAACGAGCAGUCUUUGAGAGUGGUCGCUCUAGUUUAGAUUAAUGGUUCCCAGCGCUUAUUCUGCAGUGCGGGUGAAAGGGCCAGGAUCACUAAUGAUUAUAAUAUAAUGUGUGGUGAUAACCACUCCCUUUGAGAUAUUAUCGUGCAGUGGGCAAUGCUCAUGGGACGAGCUGCGGAGCUGAAACUCGGCAGAUAGCUACUAAACAGGAGCAGAUUUCUGCACUGAAGCUCCAAGAGCAUGCACGAGUACAGUCCUGUCUGCUGCUGAUAUCAACAGCCAGGGGCUGAAUUAAAACGUUCUAUUUUUAUUUUUUUGUAAGCCAAGAAUGACUUUUUUGCCCCUUAAAAAAAAAGGGAAAAAAAAGGCAAACACUAUCCUGUGAUUAGCUGCUCUUUAAUACUGGCUACAAAUUAUGAGGUUGGGGGAACAUAUUUAUUUAUUUAUCUUCGUGUGAUGAUUAUUUAAGAUGCGUUUCUUACAUCUCAUUAAUGUAAAAUAAACGAGGUUGGCUGAUCUUUACAAGCUGUAAGAUAAUCUUAACAAACAUCCUACAUUAUUUUUGGAGGGCCUUUUCACAAACCAGACCGCUUGUUUUGUAGAACCGGUGCAACAAAAUCUCUGUCAGGCCCAAAGUGAACUACCACCCAAACUCUCCUCAAUAUAAAUGCAAAACAUCGUUCGAGGCGCUUAAAGUUAUACUUAAACAUUUCUCAACUGAAUAAAAAUGUUCACGGCUAUGAUAAGACAGGGUUUCAGAAAUAGUAAAGCUCAACUUUAUCAAGCCCAUAGAAAUCAAGGAAAGUGACCCAGGAUAAACGCAUUUAAUGUGAGUCCACGUGAUGUGGAUCUUACUUCGCCUAUAGGCUACAGUAGAAAACGUAACCGAUGCAAACAGAAGAGCAUUACAAUGGCAGACAUCAAAAUCUGCAAUAAUCAACAUACAUUAAUAGCAUGUUAGGUGUCGCUUUGCAUCUGAUAAACUGUGAAAGCAAGAAGAAAAAUCCGUUUAAACUACACAUAUUAGAUUUAGAUAAUUGUCAUCUGAAGCGCUCGUUUGUCUACGAACGUUUUUACGUGCAGGUUUUUACGUGCAGGUUUUUAGGAAACGUGCAGAAGAAAUGAAUAACUCCAUUAGUGUGACUAGCAAAAAAUAUAACAAACCACUUGAAACGUAAAGAAUAGGUUUAUAGCCUUUAAAUUAACAAAAGUGUAAAUGGUGCUAAUCGAUGUAGCCUAAUCCAAGCUCAGAAACCAGGAAAAAAAAAACCACACAUUUACGAACAGACCGGACACAUCCCUUCUCAUGGCAAUCAACUGCUAUGGAUCAAUAAUAAAGCUGCCUGACUAACUUCUCCGAGAGACUGCAGUGAACACAGGAAAAGGGGGGCGAUCCUAAAGGACCACGGGAGACAAGGCCUCGGCAAUCCCUCCUCAUUCAUCUUCAUUGCCUUUGUGUGCACAAAAAGCAAGCACUGCAUAAGGCUGUGGGUGGGAAUUAAUACUCAAAUGCUGCUGGAAGCCAGGCCCCCUUACAAAUCAUGUAAUUCCUGUUACUGGAAGACACACAUGUCCUAGAUUUAAUCAGUCCUGCAGGAAUCCCCUAUCAGAGCAUCACAGGUUUACCGUUUCUCCCGCUUCCCGACUGGCCUCACGAAAUGCAGAUUAGGCCGAGCAGCAAAUGUAUGCAUUAGACCGAACAUAAAUCUUACCUGCACACUCCAUUUCUAGAUAACUAUAUAUCUGUUAAAGAUAGAUAGACAGACGGUUGCAGAGUUUUAAGGGUGUUUCAACAAAAGGGAGAGGCUCAGUGAAUCAAGCUCUGUCCAACACACUGGGGCACAAAUUAAUUGUGGUUACCUGUUAGUGCAACAUAUGAAUUGCAUGAAUAAAAAUAAAUCUGUGUUUGAAUGAAUUGUGCUUGUUUAAUCAACUACAGCUCAAUAUAUUUAAUAUGCUUUUGAUCUUGAAUAUCUUUUGUUUAUCAUCUAAUGUCCAAGGACUACAUUUGAACUUAAGUGAUAGAAAACAUCUGUAAAUAUAUUGGAUUUCCUCUUUAUAGUGUUCACUAUAAAAGUAGUGAUUCCUAGACUACCAGGAAUCCUGUUGCAGUUGAGCAGAUAUUUAU
This is a long non-coding RNA of Cyprinus carpio (common carp), 3461 nucleotides long. RefSeq lists it as uncharacterized. The record is from RefSeq and is a predicted model, not a curated record. Lineage: Eukaryota; Metazoa; Chordata; Actinopteri; Cypriniformes; Cyprinidae. The transcript is spliced from 2 exons.